RNAcentral lists this ribosomal RNA (486 nucleotides) under Bacillus anthracis (anthrax bacterium). Its description in RNAcentral is "bacterial SSU rRNA". It matches the Rfam family "Bacterial small subunit ribosomal RNA", at positions 35 to 503 of the family's 1533-position model. The record is from RNAcentral. Lineage: Bacteria; Bacillati; Bacillota; Bacilli; Caryophanales; Bacillaceae.
GGCAUGCGGCGUGCUAAUAAUGCAAGUCGAGCGAAUGGAUUACGUGCUUGCUGCCAUGAAGUUAGCGGCGGACGGGUGAGGAAUCGUGGGUAACCGGCCCAUAAGACAGGGAUAACUCCGGGAAACCGGGGCUAAUACCGGAUAACAUUUUGAACCGCAUGGUUCGAAAUUGAAAGGCGGCUUCGGCUGUCACUUAUGGAUGGACCCGCGUCGCAUUAGCUAGUUGGUGAGGUAACGGCUCACCAAGGCAACGAUGCGUAGCCGACCUGAGAGGGUGAUCGGCCACACUGGGACUGAUACACGGCCCAGACUCCUACGGGAGGCAGCAGUAGGGAAUCUUCCGCAAUGGACGAAAGUCUGACGGAGCAACGCCGCGUGAGUGAUGAAGGCUUUCGGGUCGUAAAACUCUGUUGUUAGGGAAGAACAAGUGCUAGUUGAAUAAGCUGGCACCUUGACGGUACCUAACCAGAAAGCCACGGCUAAUCC